GAAAUGAGUAAAAGGUGAAGUUUGAUGAUAAUGAGCUAGGGGAGAUUCUAAGGAUACAUGUUGAAGGCUACAUAAGCAACAUGUCAUAUGUUUCACAUGAAUAUGUAACUUGAGUAACCUCUACUUCCUAAGCAGCCUUCAUUGAACAACCAACCAUACUAUAUAUAAAUACUAGAUAUCCCGUGCAUGUGUUGUGCACGGGCCUAACACGACCAUAAGCCUAACACCACUGCACAAAAUAGGUCCGAGAGUAAGAAAGAUAAUUUCAUACUUGUGUAGUAAGAUUACCCCCGAAAAAUAAAAUGACGAAGCAAUACCAUCCGUUGACUAAAUAUUACAACAUAAUACACCACAUUCAUUUGUUUAGCUUCAUUAGUCCAAUUGCAUUUUUAGCUUGCUUCUAUGAGAAUGAGAAAGAUAAAAACAAUCAGAUAAAUCGUGUUCAUGUUGGUAGUCCCACUAAUACAAAAUAUUGGAUAAAAUUUGGACAGUUGCAGUUGACAACAAAUACUUCAUCUUAUAUCCACCUAAAGAAAAGAAAAUCAAGCAUUAGUAUUAUUGGUAAGACUUACAUAUGGUAGUAUAACAAUCAUAAAAUUCAGCUAGUUUGCAUAUUCAGCAAAACAAUCAUAAAUUCAUUAAUUUUGGAGGAAAAAGAGGGGCAUAAAAUAUCAGCAUGGACUAAGAGGAGAAAGAAAAGAUUCAGACACGGUAGACCUAUUGAAAUGCCCCCAUCAAAGGCAUGUUCUAAAUCUGAAUUGGGUCUCUUCUUUUUAGCAAUCUAUAGCUAGGCAUUAAAUAAUGAUUUACAACCUUGGAGGACCUAUUUAGGGAUAUGAACCUUUAACCUAUUUCAUUGGAGGAGACUAUCUUCAUUGAUUUUGGUAUUGAUGUAAUAACUGAAAAGUGAUACACACCAAAUUUAAAAUAGAAAAUCUGCAAUAGAAGCACUACCAGUAAAUCACAAUUCACAACCAUACUCGCAUAUUCUGUGACUUAGGAGAGAUCAUGUAGUGGUAUUUCUAUUUCAAUCACCUGACCCUACUCUAUUCAUGAGAACAACUGCUAUCUAUGUUGAAUGAAUGCGUCCAGGUUACUACAAAAAUUUCUAGACAAAUUCUAACUUCUGCAAAUACUACUUCAAUUGCCUUAUUUCUAUUAUAUACUUACAAGCAACGACCAUCUCAUCAUGACCAUCUAUCGAAGAGAUGCACCAAAAAGAUCUGAAAAACAUAAAGCAGAUAAACGAACCUUCAAAAUAUAAGUUUUGAGUAGUAUUUAAACACAUGUUAAAGGAUACAAUGAAAAGAAGCAUAUUGCCAACGACAAGUCUGUUUUUUCAUUUCCUUGCAAAACUUACUAAUGACAAACUAAGUGAAUGUGUGGGCUAAAGAUGUUGCAACCUGAUCAUUCUAGAUAUGUCCAUGUUAUUGUCCUUGGUGGGGCUUCAGUGAGAGUUCAUCAUUUAUAAUUUGCUGCUUUUGAGGCUAGUGAAAAAUAUUCAACAUGUUGUGCGAGAGAUUUGGAAACAACAGUUAUCACUUAUCACAUGCCAUCAGUUCUUGCUCGAUCCUUAUCUAUAUGAAAUAAAGCGUGCGUCUAUACCGAUAAGUAGAUAUUGAUUGAUCUCAACUAAUCAAGGGGAAAAUGUUUGAUAUUUUGGUCAAUUCAAAAUAUCAUAAUAAAAAUACCCCCGUACCCUGACAACUUAAAAAAAGUGAAAAGAAGAAAGGAAUGUUGAGGCUAGGAAUGAAGUGCAAAGAGAAAACUGGAGAAAUAAAACUCACAUGCAGACAUCCACUAAUCAAACAAAUCAAAUGCUCAAAAAACAAAAUCAGAGAACAUAGCUUACCAAUUAAUACAAUCGCAGCACACCAGAUUGAUCGGCAAAGGACUGUCAAUCCAACUAAAGAAGAUACUAUCAUGUGACAGAAGCAUUAUUCAAAGUUCAAACUUGCCGCAAUUAUUACUCCCACCGUUCCAGUUUAUGUAAACCUAGCUAUUUCCUUUUUGGUCCGUUCCAAAAAGAAUGACCCCUUUCUAAAUUUGGAAACAAUUUAGCUUAAACUUCCAAUUCUACCCUUAAUGAGAAGCUUUUAUAACCACACAAAUACUCUGGUCCCCAUUUUGACUUGUUUAGGACCACAAAUUCUAAAAAAGUCAUCAUUUUUUCUUAAACUCCGUGAUCAGUCAAACAUGUUCACAUAAAUUGGAACAGAGGGAGUAUUAUUGAAAAAAAUGGAAGGGAAGGAAAAGAUAAAGCUGUAAUUUUGAUUACUUUUGCUCCACGCGUAUAGUAGUCACCGGAACAUCUAUGUACAAGAUAAAAAGUCAUAAGCAAGCUGCGGUAAGGACUUUAUUUUCCUGCAAAACAAUUGUUGAUGUAUAGAAAAACAUGUUACUAAUUUAUAUGAGGGAAUCAAUUAGGAUAUUUGCGAACGAACAUUUAAACUUGUUGCUAAAUUUUUAUGUUUGAGUAGCUUAGUAACUUUUAUUCUCUGUGUAAAAGCAUAGGAGUUAGCAGGACUUCAGAAUAUGCAAGCAUUUGAACUAUCUCGGAGGAGUUGAUUGAAAUAUUUCAAGAAUUUCUCAAGGAUUAAUCUUCAUUUCCUGCACAUACUCUAGUCCCUCUCGAGAUAGUAAUUCUGGGGUUUUCACAUUAUAAAAUGACAUAAAGAUGAUCUCCGAAUGAUCUUCUUAGCUGCUACUUGAUUUUCAAAUGUAUCAACCAAAUCAGACAACCCAAUGAAUGAAAGCUCUUAAUCUUCAUUAUACUCCAGCAUAGAGCGAUAAUGUCUCAAAUUCUAGAGUAAUCUUAAUAUCUCGUUCUGAACACUUAUGUCAUUUGAGUAUCAAAUAAAUCUCAGUUGUAACCUAAAAGCAACAACCAUAAAUUCCAGCUUUGUUUCUUUGAUACUAUGUUGUAGAUUAGUUUUAUGGAGUUACAACCAACAAAUCAGAAGUAGAAAGAUUCAAAAAAUGACGAAGAAACAAUAAUAAUUCAACGAUGAUAGAUAAACAAAAUUGAUUGUCCUUGUAAUAUUGCAUAGAUCAGAGAGCUAUUGUUGAAAUGUGAGACCCGUUUGGCCAUAGAUCACUUUUGACACGGAACCAACCCCCAGAGGAAACAGAGGGACAACAACACAAAACUGCAGCACAUCCCUAUUUUUAUUUCUAAAGCAAGAAAGAACAACGACACUGCCACUCUUCAAUUAAUUUCUAAAUCAAUUCCCAAAUAGAAUUUCAGUGCACCUUUAUCAUCUCUCAACGCAAUUCUAAUGUGCAAAGUCGCCCAAACCUGUAGAAGUAAGAGGUUCUUACUCCCAUGUAGUCUAAAUACUUUUUUUCUUACUAUUUUCUUCAAUCCUUUAUCUUCUUUUUUAUAACAAGAAUAAGUACAACUAUAGAUUUGUUGCCUAACAUAAACUUUUCCUAAGCAUUCAUCCCACAAAUCAAAGUAGGCAAAUAACUUUAAGCUUUUCCUAAUCAUGUAUAUUCCAAUCAAUCAACCUCCAUUCCAUACAUCAUCCUAUUUCUUUGGAUGCUGUCAUAGCCAAAAAGAAGUGACAAAAUAAGACGGUAAACUUUCCUCUUCCAUUGUUAUCUUCGAGAAAUAGAGUAAGACAGUGGACACAUAGAAGGUUUGAAGAUGAAAUUUCAUAAAGAUACCCCACGCCCUAGAUCACUUUCAGCAUUCUAAAGAUGCCAAGUGAAUGUAGAAAUUUGAAAGUUCUAAAAGAUGGAUAUAUAUUCUUUGUUCCGAGUUGGCGAUUUUGGUGUUAUAGAUGUAGUUUAUUGUAAGGUCUGUAAUGUUAUUUGAAAAGUGUUCAUGACGGCUAGUAAGAUGAUAAAGCCCAUAAUACUGUAUGUAAUACCCGAAAGAAUUGUACUCUAGCUAGUUUGUUGAACAUACCAUCACAAUCUCGGUGUUGUUUGUAAUUAGAAAAUUUACCUUUUUAAUCAAAAGCAAUAUAAGGAGAAAAUAUGGUCAAAGUAUAGAAUCAGAUAUGCUGAGCACAUUUUUCCUGAAAUAAAAAGAACUCAAUUUAGUAAAAAUUUUGAUUCAUAUCUUCUCAAGCUCAACCUGAGACUAUACUUUCCUAAAGUCGGAAUAGGAUCGUUCUCCACUUCACGAGAUUUUAAAAAGAACAACUUAAUUUUGUAAAUACUUCAUUAAUCAUUUUUCCCAAAUAAAGUUUUUAAACAUAUAAAAUCUCUAUAAGAAGACAAAAGUGAAAGAACACAAGUAUUUUUCUUGGCUGUACAUUAAAAAUAAAAAGAAUGCAUUUGAAACAUUAGUUUGCUAAUUUCAGUACUGUUGAAGAAGCCUUGUAAAACAUUAAAUUCGGAUAGCCUAACAUACAAUUAUUUCUUGUUAGCUAAGAAGUCCUUUAAAGUAUGCAUCAACUACCGUCAACAGUCAGAUAAAUAUUACUUCUCAUUUAAUUCUAUCCUCUCAUGUCUACAGCAGUUUAGAAAAUCCACAAAAUUGUUUAGAUCCUGGGGCCAUCUUACAAUUACACCAAGAAUACACAAACUGCAAUGACUUGAAUUGAAUACAUGCUAAGGCCCAAUAAGUAUUUUGAAAAAAACUAUAGUUUCUUUCCACAUUGUGCAAAAAAAGCACGAAGGAACUUAUUACUGGAUGUCUUUGUGAAUGUAAUAGAAAAUCUCAUGAAUUAAGCAUAAAAAACCUUUUGUUCUUGGGGAUAAUUGCAUUUUUAAUGAGUUACUAAUAUUGAAAAGGGGAAGUAAGUAAAAGUAAACCAAAAUGUGCAGAACUUACCUGGUACAAGUGAAGCAAUAUUCCUUUCCCCACUUUCAGUUAACAACUUCCUUUAAGAAAAAUCUGAAAAAUCAAUAUUUUGGGACCAUUAUAUUCCUACUAAAUGAAUACAAAAAUAUUCGGUAAUAUCAAAAGUUCAUAUUUCAAACAAAACCCAAGUAAGCGAUACACUAUUCAGUUUAAUAGAGUCUCGUCAAAAAAUAAUAAAAUAGGAGUAAUAAUUUUGAAAAAGAAGAAGAUAAACCCAAUUAAAGAACAUUGUGUGAGAAAAAUAUUGUGCAUGAGUAAAUCAAACAUAUCUACUGACAUGUAUGUAUAACAUUCAAUAAAAUACUGCCCAAAAGUUCAAGAUGCCCAAAAAAUUAUAUUAAAAACAGGAUCCAAACACAUGCAUAGCCGAGAAAACAGAGGAAGAUGCAAAGAAGGUGUCCAAUUCCCUGCUUCUUAGUAGGAGAAACUGAUAGAUAAGUCACCAAAGAAACCCCAAAUUUUCCAUCUUUCAAUUUUCUUUUUCAAACUUUCAGUUCAUACACUUUGAAAACCUAAAUAGACACAAUUCAAUAAUGUAGCCACAUAAGACUCACCAAUCCUUGUAACAUUAAAAAAAUUAGAAAUGGUAAAAGAUAAAAGAUAAAAGAUAUUCUCCAUCUUCAUAAUAGCCAAAGGUAACACAUAAAUAUUAAAAAAAUGAACCCAGAUGGGACUAAAUCUAAAAACUGAGCAAAAUAUUAACAGGGGGAAGAAGAAAAAGGCAUCAGCAAGAGAAAGAGUCGGUGGAAGGGAAAUUGAGAAAUGUAGGAAAAAGGAACUAAACCCACG
RNAcentral lists this long non-coding RNA (5605 nucleotides) under Nicotiana tabacum (common tobacco). RNAcentral's name for it is "long non-coding RNA (NTAB_LNC000839)". The record is from RNAcentral. Lineage: Eukaryota; Viridiplantae; Streptophyta; Magnoliopsida; Solanales; Solanaceae.